AUUGAACGCUGGCGGCAGGCCUAACACAUGCAAGUCGAGCGGAUGAAGGGAGCUUGCUCCUGGAUUCAGCGGCGGACGGGUGAGUAAUGCCUAGGAAUCUGCCUGGUAGUGGGGGAUAACGUCCGGAAACGGGCGCUAAUACCGCAUACGUCCUGAGGGAGAAAGUGGGGGAUCUUCGGACCUCACGCUAUCAGAUGAGCCUAGGUCGGAUUAGCCAGUUGGUGGGGUAAAGGCCUACCAAGGCGACGAUCCGUAACUGGUCUGAGAGGAUGAUCAGUCACACUGGAACUGAGACACGGUCCAGACUCCUACGGGAGGCAGCAGUGGGGAAUAUUGGACAAUGGGCGAAAGUCUGAUCCAGCCAUGCCGCGUGUGUGAAGAAGGUCUUCGGAUUGUAAAGCACUUUAAGUUGGGAGGAAGGGCAGUAAGUUAAUACCUUGCUGUUUUGACGUUACCAACAGAAUAAGCACCGGCUAACUUCGUG
This 484-nucleotide ribosomal RNA is filed under the name uncultured bacterium. RNAcentral's name for it is "partial 16S ribosomal RNA". It matches the Rfam family "Bacterial small subunit ribosomal RNA", at positions 30 to 507 of the family's 1533-position model. The record is from RNAcentral.